RNAcentral lists this ribosomal RNA (468 nucleotides) under uncultured bacterium. RNAcentral describes it as "partial 16S ribosomal RNA". It matches the Rfam family "Bacterial small subunit ribosomal RNA", at positions 28 to 507 of the family's 1533-position model. The record is from RNAcentral.
GACGAACGCUGGCGGCGUGCUUAACACAUGCAAGUCGAACGGAAAGGCCCUGCUUUUGUGGGGUGCUCGAGUGGCGAACGGGUGAGUAACACGUGAGUAACCUGCCCUUGACUUUGGGAUAACUUCAGGAAACUGGGGCUAAUACCGGAUAGGAGCUCCUGCUGCAUGGUGGGGGUUGGAAAGUUUCGGCGGUUGGGGAUGGACUCGCGGCUUAUCAGCUUGUUGGUGGGGUAGUGGCUUACCAAGGCUUUGACGGGUAGCCGGCCUGAGAGGGUGACCGGCCACAUUGGGCCUGAGAUACGGCCCAGACUCCUACGGGAGGCAGUAGUGGGGAAUAUUGCACAAUGGGCGGAAGCCUGAUGCAGCAACGCCGCGUGCGGGAUGACGGCCUUCGGGUUGUAAACCGCUUUCGCCUGUGACGAAGCGUGAGUGACGGUAAUGGGUAAAGAAGCACCGGCUAACUACGUG